This 178-nucleotide ribosomal RNA is filed under the name Strumaria spiralis. RNAcentral describes it as "5.8S ribosomal RNA". The stretch from base 2 to 157 matches the Rfam family "5.8S ribosomal RNA". From Rfam's summary of the family: 5.8S ribosomal RNA (5.8S rRNA) is a component of the large subunit of the eukaryotic ribosome. Lineage: Eukaryota; Viridiplantae; Streptophyta; Magnoliopsida; Asparagales; Amaryllidaceae. The record is from RNAcentral.
UGACUCUCGGUAAUGGAUAUCUUGGCUCUCGCAUCGAUGAAGGACGUAGCGAAAUGCGAUACUUGGUGUGAAUUGCAGAAUCUCGUGAACCAUCGAGUCUUUGAACGCAAGUUGCGCCUGAGGUUAUUUGGCUAAGGGCAUGCCUGCUUGGGCAUCAUGUCUUGAGAUGCUUUGUUCU